RNAcentral lists this ribosomal RNA (255 nucleotides) under uncultured bacterium. Its description in RNAcentral is "partial 16S ribosomal RNA". It matches the Rfam family "Bacterial small subunit ribosomal RNA", at positions 524 to 776 of the family's 1533-position model. The record is from RNAcentral.
UACGUAGGGCGCAAGCGUUGUCCGGAAUUAUUGGGCGUAAAGAGCUCGUAGGCGGUUUGUCGCGUCUGCUGUGAAAACCUAAGGCUCAACCCUGGGCCUGCAGUGGGUACGGGCAGACUAGAGUGCGGUAGGGGAGACUGGAAUUCCUGGUGUAGCGGUGAAAUGCGCAGAUAUCAGGAGGAACACCGGUGGCGAAGGCGGGUCUCUGGGCCGUAACUGACGCUGGAGGAGCGAAAAGCAUGGGGAGCGAACAGG